ACUCUAGCUCUAGGAUGUAAACAGAGUAAGAGAGCCGCAUGAAUUAACUACGCGCGCCUACCAUUUUCUUUUGCUCCCUCUCAAACCCUCUCCCUUUCUCUGCUGCUCCUCCGUAGCAGUACUGUUUGACAAACCGCAUCCUUGUCCUGUUGGCUGCAGAAGGUCCGAAGAAAGAGGAGUUACUGGAGGAAAAAGUGGUUCAGAGGUGACUAUUCAACCGCAUAAGAGAUGGUGAAAAUUAACCUAUCACCACUGCUAAUGAACAUCACCCUAUGGAGAACCGGAGAUCCCCAGAGGCAAUUGUCCACCUGACUUCAGAAUCAGAAGUAGCUCUGCUUUUCCUGAGAAGUGGUGCGGGUUUUGCCUUAUGGAUGCUAACUGAGACUGGAACAUGUUCCCUUUUUUGUAUCAGCUGCUGGUACAAAAUUGAGAGUUGAGAGCCAAAACUGUACCCUUAUCACCUGUCAGUAACUUAAGGAGGAAGUCAGCUACCAUGCCUCCAGGACACUCAAGUAACCCCAUGGAGAUGACAUUGCAGAGAAGAACUGGUCGAAAGCCAGUACCCACUUUGCCAUCUGUGUGAACAAUCCACCUUUGAGUGGGUCCUCCAGCCCACAUCAAGCCUUCAUAUAACAGCAGUCCUGAAGGACAUUUUAUUGUAACCUCGUGAAAAUCGAAGUAGGAACUCACCAGCCAAGUUGCUCCUGAAUUCUGCAGGCGUAAAACCGUGAGAAAUUACAGAUCAUUAUGGUUGUUUUGAGUCACUGAGCUUUGGGAUGAUAUGUUACGCAGCAAAGGAUAACUAAUACAGUAUUAGAAAGCAAGCCUUCCUUUAGGUAGGAAACAGCUCUUUUCAAAUAAAUCUUCAAGCAUCCUGUCUCUCAAUUUCCAUGCUUCCCAUGGACCAGACAUGGCUGGUCAUCUCUGAGAGACAUUUGAAGGGUCAUGUUAGAUCCUGAUGAAGCAGGCUGCCUGGAGGGACCAUCUAACCCCAGGAGAGAAAAGCUGCAGUUGUCUGGAUAGCAUUGAUCCUGUUUCUACACUCAACUCAGUGUGAGAGAUUUUAAAAAUUUAGUGUGAGAGAUUUAUAUAGAUAUCUUUGCCACUUAUUUUUAUUUUUUAUUUUUCUAUCUUGUUCUAAGGUUUCAUUUUAGAAUAUGCCUCAGCUUUCAUUUUCAUCACCAGUUAUAUUUUCUUACCCAACUUGAAAAUCAAUGGAACCACUGUCUUGGGAUAUUUUCCUCCUCCAUAUCCUCAGUGAUACCAUCUCUGUGAAUUGGUUUCGGGAAAACUUCUGCGUUGCAGAGCUUAACGGAUUUAGAGUAACGACAUUCUUAUGACAGCCAAAUUGGGUAGCCAUGGCCUUGGAAAACUGAGAAGUCAAAAAUAGUAGGAAUAUUCAUUAUAAAACGGAAGUCUGGAAAGCUGCCCAUGUUCUGAGAAAAACCUUUUAGCCAAAGAACUCAAAUUCCCAUUCAGAUUUUCAUGGGUAAAAUUCCAAAAAAAGUCUUUUUUUAGCAGACAGAGAGACAGAGAGAGAGAGAGAGAGAGAACCACUUUUGUAGCUGUGACCUAAUUCUGCUAAUAAGGAAUUUAUUACUGAGGACUAGAUAAUUUAUUUAGUAUCUAAUCACAGACUUAUUUUCAUGGAACAAGGACCUGGGAUUUGUUAGUGCCUUCAGGGAACUACAGUACUAGUUACUGCUCUUCCUAACAACCUGUGUGACCUGUCUGCAUCUCGUUCUUUUUCUCUGCAGGAGUCUGAGAAUAUCUGUUGACCAGAGAUAAACUAUCGGGAGGCUUUGAAGUGCUGUAAAUGCUUUACCUAUUUGAGGUUUCAUUAUUAUUUUGUCUUUUACAUUUAGUCAUUUUCUGCAAGAGGGGAGAAAAACGGCUUAUGUGACAUUAUAAAAAUAUGAAAAGUCAAAUAAAAAACAAGCCAAUGCAUGAUGACUGUUAAGCAAGUUUCUGUUAAUUGAAUCAUAUUUCUCCAUUGAUUUGCAUAAAUAAUGAUGAUUGGUUUCCAUGGGGGCAGGUGGCUUGCAACGAAGCAAAAUCACAUUCAAAAUUGCAGGAAAUCUGUAAGCAGUCAUUUAAAAUACUAAAAUAGGUUAUGGAUAUAUGAGUGUAAUGUGACAGUGAACAUGUAUGAUUCUUUGAAGGAAGGUCUUUAAAGAAAGGGGGAUUUCUUUGAUCCCAGGACUUUCCCUUGAGUCUGGAGAAAGUAGGUUUUUCUGCUUUUUAUAGAAAUAAGAUAUUCCUGGGUAAAUGUGGAAAUUAGAUGUGUAUCUCAGGGUUUGAUUGGAAAGCAGAAGGUGCACUAGAUUCCAGGGAGUAAGGGCUUUAUUCAAAGGACUUAGGACUAUAAAAGACAUUUGGAUCUCCACCAUGGCUGAUCUUAUCCUGAAGUGCCAUAACAGAAGUUCUCAUGAGCUCUAAUGCUCAAGAAUGUGUGGAAAUGCCAAUCUAAUGUUCUUAGACUAUGGUGGGAAAGCUGGUGGUUCUCAGGAACCCUGUGGGAAGCUGCUGUGAACCACAGAGGCCCGGCUGCAACUACCUCCAAGGCUAAUGACCCCACCUCCUCUGUGCCUUCUGGGUCUAGCCGAGUCCUCUCAUUGGCAAACUCUUGCUGGGAGCCACAUGGGAAGGGGAUUCUUGGAAAUGAGCCCUUAGAAUGGGAACUUAGAAGGGAGAGGGGAUGAUGCCGAAUCCAUGGAGGUCUGUGUUCGCUCCACUGGCAUCACUUGGGUCAUCUCAGUGACCUCACCAGCAAUGUUAGGAAGGUGGUAUCAUUCAUCUCUUAAUUUUCUUUUGAAAAAGAUGAUAAAAGUGAGGCUCAGAGAAGUGAAAUAAUCAGCCUAGGUCAUAUAACUAGUGUUUAGCCACUAGAAUUCAAACUUGGGUCUAUGUGAGGGAAAAUCCCUAGCUCCUUUGGUAUUUUAUGCAUAUACACUAGUGGCUCAAACUUUAGCUGUAUUAGCAUCACCUGGAAGAAUCAUCCACCCCCAGAGUUUCUGAGUCAGCAGGUCUGGGGGUGGAGUGGGAGGGGAGUGACCUGAGAUUUGCAUUUCUAACAAGUUCCCAGGUGAUGCUAUUGCUGCUGGUUCAGGGACCACACUUUGAGAACUCUAGAGUAGGAAGAUGAUGCUAUUCCUUAUCUCGAUCUACAGGGGUGUUCAGGGCCAGGCAGAUUCUACAAAAUACCCAAUUUGCUCUGAAUAUUUCUAUUGCAUUUGAAUAUGGUUCCUAUCAAGUAGCAUAGAUGCUGUGGUGCUUGGCUUUGUGUGUGUAUGAGUGACGGGUGUGUGUGUGUGUGUGUGUGUGCUUGUAUUUUAGCUACAUAGCCUUCGCAGGUAAUUGUACAGCUGUAUGAAAAUGAAUGGGCUCAUAUUUCUGACUGCUACCUUAUUUGGAAACCGAGGAGGGUACCUGGUGCUGUGCUUAUUUUCCUGAUUGAGCCGGAAUACCAAAUUAAACUUUUGACUUGAUGAUUUAUUUAUUAUUUCAUUGUGAGUUUUUUUUUAAAUCAGCAUUUGAUAAGUAAAUGGUCCAAGUCUUACUUUGGCAUUCAUGGGAGUAAGAUUAGUCUUGACGAAUUAUUUGCUUAUUCAUUGAGGUGUAAUUUAAUUCUAUAGAAAUUGCAUGGCAAUUUAGCACACAUUAAUGAGCAGAUACUGUCUCAUAGCUUAAUGAAUCUGUCAUCCUUUUAAGGUGGGGGAAAAAACAUUUAAAGAAUCAACAGUUAACUAGAAGGCCGGACAUGGUGGCUCACACCUGUAAUCUCAACACUUUGGGAGGCUGAGGUGGGAGGAUUGCUUGAGCCCAGGAGUUUAAGAGCAGCCUGAGCAACAUAGCGAGACCCCAUCUCGCUAAAAAAAAUUAAACAAACAAACAACUCCCACAAAAAAAUCCCAGUCAACUAUAGGAGGAAGUCUAUUCAGAAAUUUAUUGGACUCAACCAACUUUAUGGACCUCUUGGGCACAGAUAUGCAGAUUUUAGAUGCCUGGUCAAUGUGAAGGGGUAACUGCUUUCCCUCUCUGGAGAGUCAGAAAGGCCAAGGCCUUGCUUCCUAGUACCUAGAGAAAGAUAGGCUGUCAUGUAACCUUUGGGCGCCCUUACCUGUCAGAUGGGGGGAUGAGUUCUAAUAUGGAUUUUAUAGGAUUGUAGUGGAGGUUAAAUGAUGUAAUGAAUGACUGUAAAGGUUCUGAAAUGUAGUUGAUUCUCAACAAAUUAUUGAUUGUUAUAAUAUUACAAUGCUACUAUUUACCUUAGUGACGAUUUUCCCCUUUUCUUUAUUUCCUUUCAUUCUUCCUUUCCCUCUUCCUCCUUCCUUAUUUCCUUUCCUUUCUUCUACUUCUUUUCUCUCUGUGUGUUUUGAGACAAGGUGUCACUCUGUUGCCCAGGCUGGAGUGCAAUGGUGCGAUCAUGGCUCACCGCAGCCUCAACCUCCUGGACUCAAGUGAUCCCACCUCAACCUCCCGAGUAGCUGGGACUACAGGCACAUGCCACCAUAUCCUGCUAAUUUGUAUUUUUUUUGGUAGAAACAGGGCUUCACUAUGUUGCCCAGGCUGGUCUCGAAUUCCUGAGCUCAAGCAAUCUGCCCGCUUUAGCCUCCCAAAGUGCCGAGAUUACAGCUGUGAGCCUCUGUGCCCGGCUCCUCCACUUUCCUUUUUUAUUGCUUACCUGUUUAUUAUACCCUUAUUAUAAAGGGUACAACUCAUAAACAGCCAAAUGGAAGAAACAUGGGUGGUGUGGAGCUUCUGUGUCCUCUCCAGGUGUGCUGUGCUCUCAAUAUGCCCAUGUGUUCACCAACCUGGAAGCUCCUCAAUGAAUAUUUCUUUCAGGAAUCUGAGAUGAGCCAUUUUCUGGCCCAGAAAGUCUGGCCAUUCCAAAUCACUCUCCCCUUCCCCAGCCAUGUAGCCUGUCCCUUUUCCCACCCAUAUGCACAUUGCACUUCUCUCCAUUGUCCUUUUGUGCCAAAUUCCUCCUCAACCUUCAAGACAAAGCUGGAGCGUCACCUUCUCUGUGAAGCCUGCCGUGAUCACCUCCACCUAUAGCAGAGAUCAGAGGUGUUGCCGGCAUACCCUUCCUUCUCACUGCCUUCCAUCUGAUGCUGAGAUAGUCUGCAUUCAUGUCUGUAUUCUCCAAAUGCCGGCAGCUCCUUGAGGAAAUGACCAAAUGUGGUUUCCAUAUUCGUGACCAUAAUACCUGGCCCAGAAUAAGCAGUUGGUGAAUAAAUUAAUGCUGCUUUGGGUGCACAUAAUGACUAUCAAUCUGAUGACUUGGGGUGUCACGGUUAACACUAGGUUGAAAUGAGUGAGGUACCUAAGGCACACCUUUUUUUAAUUUAAUUUAAUUUAUUUUAUUUUAUUUUUUCUAAGACGGAGUCUCACUCUGUCGCCCACGUUGGAGUGCAGUGGUGCCAUCUUGGCUCACUGCCACCUCCACCUUCUGAAUUCAAGCAAUUCUCCUGCCUCAGCCUCCCAAAUAGCUGGGAUGACAGUCAUGCACCACCACGCCUGGGUAAUUUUUGUAUUUUUAGUAGAGACGAGGUUUCACCACAUCAGUCAGGCUGCUCUCAAACUCUGACCUCAAGUGAAAUCCACCUGCCUCGGCCUCUCAAAGUGCUGGGAUUAUAGGUGUGAGCCAUCACGCCCAGCCUAAAACACAACAUUUAAGGAGGUGCGUCAGGACACUCAUGAUGGACACUCUGAGUUACUGAAAACAUCAGACUCUUCAUCUACAAUCAUUGCACAAGACAAUUUUUACUGGCAUCUGGGCUUUAAAACUUGAAUAUUAAUUUUUGUCCAUGUAUUUCCAAGAACUGACAUUAUAUUACCCCGUGUCUUGGCAUGUGUGAGAUAAGGGCAUCCUUCAGUCUCUGGUCAGGUUGGCUGAAAGCCCGUCACAUGCCAAGCCCUGUGCUCCUUACUGGGGUACAGUGCAGGCAUGAUGGACAGCCCCAUCUUCAGCACCAUCUCAGCUCUCAAGGGCUCAGAGGGAUGAGCAUGGAGCAAGGAGAAUACUCAUCAAGAAUUGUACGUGAAUGGCUAUAACACAGUAUUAAGCAAAGUUCAGUUCAGUAGGCAUGGUAGAGAGAAAAUGUUAUGGGCAUGUGAAGAUGACUUCUAGCUGAGAGGAUGGACAGAACUUGUGAAAGAGGUGGCAUUUGAUGACUCACACUAACCUAGUCAAUGUUGUUCAUGCCUCACUCGGUUCCCCUUCACUGGGUCCAGCUGCCAGGGUGGUUGGUUUCUAAGGCCAACAGUGGCGCCUUUCUCUGAAGAAUUUCCCUCUGCUAAUAAAAGCCCCCACUCCCCAUCCCCAUGAGUGGCUGUGUUCUCGCCACAUGGAUGGCUCCCAGAUAAUGACUUAUUCAUGCCUCAACUCAAAGUACGGCAGCUCUGUGGUGCCAUUCACAUUCUAGAGCUCGGGCUGAACCCAGAUUUCAGCUGAAGUCACCACGUGGCUUAGCUCCUUGGUCUUUCUCCCCUCUCUUUUCCCUUAUGUUUCUCUCCAGACAGUGCCCCAAUAUACCACUUACACAAGAGUCCCCAUUUGGGCUAUGCUUCUAGGGAUUCAGGCUUAAGACAAAAACCAACAAGGACAACAACAAUAGUACUGCUACUCAUAACUUGAUAUUUGCAGCAUUGUGCAUGUUCACUGAUUUAAUUUUUAUAACACCUUGUGAAUUGUUAUUCCUGGUCUGCAGACAAGGAAGCUGAAACUCAGAGAGGUUAGAGUUCCUUUGCCCAAGUUCCCACAGCUGCUAAGCUGGGAGUCACACCUAGGAAAUCUGGCUUUUGGUUCCCUGAUAGCAAGUGCUCCAUGGCAACUUCAAAUCUAUACACCCCAGGGCUCAAGAGCUGGGGCAUGAGGAGCUCUGCAUGAGGGUGCAGGACUCUGGGGUGCUCCUGAGUUUGGAGGCAGGGACUCCCGUGAGAAGAGUGCAGGAUGUGGAGUCAGGCAGCCUGAAUUUUAGAUCUGGGCUGUGUCUCAGGACAGUGCCACAGCUCCUCCUUGGGCCUCAGACUUUUUACCUGUGGAAUGGGCUGCAUAGCCACUUUACAGAGCUGUUAUAGACCUGCUGUGAGGAUGUGCAGUCCUCAUCCUCAUGCCUGGCAUGUGGCAGGCAGUCAUUUCAUGUCGCAGUCAGCCUGUCUGGGCCCAUCUGGUGGCAGAGGCAGACCAGCUGGCCCUCAGCAUCCAAGGUGUCUGGAGCACCAGUGAGCGAGGACACCAGCUCUGGUCCUGAGACAGAGGCUGCUUCGAGAUGGAUGGAACUUCUUUUGUUCUCCCUGCUGUGAGAAGGAGAUGAAGGUGACUUAGCUCUCAUCAAAAUACAGCUGCCCACGGUGUGGUGUGGCAUGGUGGCUCUAUCCUGAUACUUUACAAUCCUCAACAUGUGGUUUUCCUGUUCAGUCCAAGGUGGUUGCUUAGGGGCCAGCAGGAGGGUGGAGAGAUGGGCUGUCUCAUCCAUGGGAUGGUGCCUGGAAGUUACCUCACUUCCAUUUAUAUCCCUUUGGACAAACCUGAGUUUGUAUUUACACCUUGCCGCCAGAAAGGCUGGAAAAUUGGGAUUUUAUUAUUGGAAGAAGGGGGACAAGUAGCAGCUUCUGCCUCAGUGGAAAGUCUGGUGCAAAGAUAGCGGUCGUAACCUGGAAGUCUUCAUGGGCACUCACUGUGUGCCAACCACAUGUAUUACAGAACUGCUUUUAUUAUAAUAUUUUCACAGUCACCCUAUGAGAUGGGCACUAUUAGCGGCAUGCCCAUUGUACUGAUGAGGAGGCCCGAGGGCAGAGCCUGGAUUUGACCCCUGGCAAGCCAGCUUUACAGGCUACACAGCUAACCACCACCAUGCUGUAUGGAGGGUUCCAGAAUGGAUAAACACAGUUUUCACUAAUGGAUUUGCUAUUUACUAACCCUGUGGCUUUGGGUAAGCUAUUUUUCCUCACAAGUUCUUAGUGUUCCCAUGACAGAGGGACGUAUGUAUCAAAUGAAAUAAAAACAUGGGAUGGCUGUUUGUCAACUGGAAAAAGUUAGAAGGAAGACUGACUAUGAUUUCUUUCAGUGACCAUGGGACUCUGAUUUCCAAUGGCAGUGGAGAGAGAGAAGCUGUGACUACCUGACUGCCAGCCUCCACAAGACAACGUUGUGUGCGUGAAAUGCUCUUUUUUACAGUGACCCUCGGGACUCAGCCCCCAGCCCACAGCCCCCAUUCUUUCACUGCCUCCUAUUUCUGUGAGGUUAUAACCACGCCUAUAGAAUCACUUUGCCUUUCUAUAUUACUCAGCUGGAAUAAUACGGCAGAUGAGGGCAACAGAAAGGAAAAAAAGAUAUGGAAGUUUGCUAAAUAGAGAAGAUCUGCUACUUCACUAGGAAAAGCUGGAUCCUGAAGAGGAUUAAGGAGAAGUCAGGCACCAUGUUAUGAGGACACUCAAGCAACCCUGUAGAAAGUUCCAUGUGGUGAGGAACUGAUACCUCCAAUCCAUGGCCAGUACCAAUUUACUUAGCAUGUGAGUGCAUCCUGGAAGUAGAUCCUCUUGUCUCAGCCAUGCCUGAAGCUGACUGCCAUCUCAUGGGAGGCCUCAAGCCAGGACUGUCCAGGCGAGCUGCUCCCAUAUUCUUGAUCCACAGAAACUGUGAAAUAAUUAAUGUUUAUGGUUGUUUCAAGUCACUUACAUUUUAAGUUCAUUUGUUAUGCAGCAGUAGAUAAUGGAAACUCUGUAAACAGGAGCCCAGUCUGGGGAGGAUGGAGAUAGUAAUCAGGAGAGGCUUCCUGGAGGAGGUGUUAGCUGAGCUAUGUCUUGUAGAAUGAGGAGGAGUUCUGAGUAGGAGUUAGUGAGGCAGAGAGUGUUGGGGUGCUAAGGCUUUCCGGGCAGGAGGAACAAUAUGUAUAAAGGACCACUUCAGGCCCCAUCUUCUCUGCAAAGUCUUCCCUAACCAUUCACUGCCUGAGUCAUUCAUUUACUUACUCAUUCAUUCGACAAAGCUUUGAUGAGAGCCUCCUAUGUCCUGGGCUCCAUGCAGAGUACUGGGGUUGCUGUAAGUUGCAUAUUCUGAGACUGCUCAGUUAGGCAUAGAAAACUCAAAUGCCCACAAGGGCUAGGCAAGUAAUGCAAGCCAGGGAAGCUGAGUGGUGCACUGGGAGUCAGGGGUGAGGCCAGAGAGAAGCGGAGAGCCCAAUUCCCAAGAAAGGCCCACCAUUUCUCAGCUCCAGUUGUCAGCUGGCAUGCCAGAAUGUAAGCCCAAAUCUGGCCAGAUCUUCCAAUUUAUCAAGAUAUCUAGAAAUUGUAUUUUAGUAUAAAGUCUCCUAAUUUUCAAAAGGCAGCCAGCCCAAACUUGUUGUCAAAUUUCUCUCUUUCCAGCCUUCUGUUCAGGAGCUCCAUGAGUUGGCUGGUGGAGACUUCAGCUUCUCUCCUGCGCUGACCGCAAAACUUUGUCCUCUGCCUUCUGGUUAGCUUGAGUCCUGUGUGACUGGUGCAAUGACUAAUUGUCUCAAUAGUUUUCUAAGUGGUGGCAUGUAACACUUGAGCUCCACUGAUCUCCCAGGAGGGGAAAGAAAGUUGGUGUUUAUUCACAUGCAGACUUCCAUAGCUCCUCAGCAAAGCCCUCUGUAGCCCAACACCAUUAUGGUAAAGGUGUCGAAGCAAAAUUACAGAAUGUAAGGUAGUUAAUCUGGUGGACAGUGAGCACUUUGUGCAUUUCUGAAGCCACGAUACCUACUGAUAGCAUCCAGGGUUGGCCACCUAGUGACUUUUCAAGACACUGGUAUGUGGCUGUGGGAGUGUCCAUAUCUUAGAAAGAGGACAGUGAGUUUAUGGAAGCCUUCCUGUGUGCAAACAUGGGGCUGUGCAUACAGAAGCUUAUUUAAUCCUCCCAACAGCCCUGGAAGAUUGGUGUUAUCAUUGUUCUCAUUUGCAGAUGAGAAAACAGAGUCCCAGGGAAGCUUACUGAUUUGUCCAGGGUCUUGCAGCCAAUAAGAGGCAGGGCAGGCAUCUCUUCUGGGACUGUUAAGUCUAUGUUCUUAUCUACUCUGCUGUAAUUUUUCUCCCUGGAGCUGAAAAAAAGAAAGCACUGGGGUUUCUGAGUUCUUAUUGGAGAGGAACAGAGCAAUGACAAUCUGAUCGGAGGAGGGUCAGGCUGUGGGGCAUGUAAAGCAGUGCCUAUAGAGCAGGCACAGCUUAUUGUUUUGUUUUGUUUUUUUUUCUCUUAGAAUGAGGUGCUUUCCCUUCUUCUCCUCCUACCCCCAAGUAAGCCCUUGGUGAUGCCACUGAGAGGGACCUAGUUAUGAAAGGAAUUUCAAGGACAACCCAUAUGUCAGAUUUAGUGACAUAGUUUGUACUGAGCUUGUGAGUUAUUAGUCAGGUGAGUCUUUUUCUCUGUUGUAUCAUGUACCUUGAUCUGUGGCGGGAAGCGGCACAAAGGAGAGGAAAUGCCAUAGGCUUUGGAGCCUGGGAAAUGUAAGUUUCAAUCCAGAUUCACUCACUAACUAGGUGUGUGACCUUGGACGCGUUGUAGCCUGUCUGAGCUCCAGUCUCCCCUUCCGGCACACGAGGUCAAGAAUAUGCAAUUUACAGCAACCUCAGGGCUCUUCGUGGAGCCUGGGACAGAGGAGGCUCUCACCAAAGCCUUGUCAAAUGAAUAAGUAAAUGAAUGAAUCAGUCAAUGAAUGGUUAGGGAAGACUUUGCAGAGCAGAUGGGGCUUGAAGCGGUCCUGGAGGAUUUAAUACGUGGAAAAGAGGAGGGAGAAAAUUGAAGAGAGGGAAUUGUAGGCAGGGAAAUGACAUAACCAGCAGCUUGGUGGAGAGAAUUCCAGGCUUAGAGGAUAAUGAAAGGCCAAUAUGGCUUCUGGUGGAGGAGAGGAUGGCCUAGGAGGGGCCUGCACCGACUUCCCCAUCCUGAUUAAAUUUCCUCAGUGGCCAAAGAGCGCUAGGUGCUGACACUAAUAGUUCCUUUAACAGGGCCUUUCAUCUCCUAUUCAAAGUGCUUUGCAAGUGUUAAUUAAAUCUCCAAACACCUCAUGAGAUAAAUAUUAUUUAUCCACCUUUUGUAGAUGAAGACAUUUAGGCACAAAGAGCGGUGAUUUUCCCAGGGCAAUGUCUAGAUGGGUGUCCAUUCCCACCUUCAUUCCAGAAUUGCCAAAACAUGUCUUUAGAAGAAAGCAGAAAAAACAAAUCAGAUCUUUUUUGCCAUCCCCCCUCCUAUACCCUCAUACAUAUAAAAAACAGAAAUUAGGACAAAAAAAAGAUGUUAUUUCAGAUAUUUCUUAGUUAUUUUAAAGUCCCCCCAAUGCAUUCUCAAAUGUAUACCUCCCUUCCCAAUUUUUUAGAACUUACAGGUUACAAGGUUGAGAAAAUUGUUCAGUUGAAUGAUUCACAGGUAUAUUCAGGCCUAAAAAUCCAUGCUUUAUAUUUCUCGUCUGUAACACGGGACCCCUCUUUCAGAGUUGUUGUGAGGAUUAAAGGAGUAAAUUUAUACAAAAGCACUUAUUUCAGGGCCAGACCCAUAUCAUCAUUUGAUAGAGGGGGUGAUGAUGAUGAUUUUAGGGGAGCCAGAAGAAUGCCCACCUUCAUCUUCCAAAGGACUCCUGACAUUUCCUCUUGAGUGCCCUUCUAUCACCUUGAUUCAUUUGACCAGUAUGUAUUAUCCUCCAGCACUGUGCUAGGUUGUGGGAAUACAACAAAGCACAAGGAGGCCAGAGCUCUAUUCUCUGGUUCCACCUUGGCUUACAGUCCAGUUAAGGAGUCAGACAUUUAAAAAAAUACAGUUAUGUACUAUUCCUGCCAAGGUGAGCCCUAGAAAACAGAGGUUCACGAUGCUCUGAGCUAGCUAAGAGAAGGCGCUCUUCUAAGUCAGGGAGGUCAGCAAGGGCUCCUAGCGGGGAGGGGUGCUUUAGCUGGGAUCUGAAGGAUGAUACAAGGUAAGUGGGUGAAGAAGAGAGGGAAAAGGACACCAAACAGAGGGGACAGCAUGUACAGAAAACCCCAAACUAAAGAGAUAAAAAGUGUCAUUCAGCAACCAUUUCCAAGUUCCUUGUUUAAAAAGAAUGUCGGGCACUAGAAAAGCGAGACACAACAUGAGAAAUUAGCCCCAGAAGAGUAGGAGUCAGAUGAUAUAAAUUGGUACUGACCCUGGAGUCCAGUUUGAUAAGAAACAUAGAGAAGGAGCUGGAAUUGUUCAGAGGCCUUGGCUAAUGGCUCUGCCCAGGGAAGUUGAAGCAGGCUUUCUGGAGGUGGCACCAGAGCUGAGCUUUCUUUUAUUCACUUGUUAGCAAGAAUGAUUGAAUAUCUAUCUACAUGGUGUCAAGCAGUAGGCUCUGCCCCGUGGUAAAGGAGGGACCAGGAGAAGGUUCCUGCCCUGAAGGAAGCCACAGGGGAACAGAGGAGGCAAAGGUUCUGACCGAGGAGGAAGGAAGGAGCGUGGUCUUGUUCUCAUGUCUGUCUUGGGAGUGCAGUGGAGGAGGGGCAUGGUGAGGAGUCAGAUGGAUCUGUGAAUGCUGGUGUAGUUGAAUACAUAAGACUUAAUAAUGAUAUCGAACUAGCUUAUAAUAGCACCUUGUAUUGGUUUAGGACUUAACAGUUUAGGAGGUACACGCAUGAGCCCAUUGGCUAUGACAGCAGCUUGGCAAGGAAGUAGAACAGGUAUGAUUUCCCGCAUUUUCAAGACAAUGAGAUUGAAGCUGAGGAAAAAUAAAUUAAGUGAAUGAUUUGAUUUUUAGGAAUUACAAUGCCCUUUGUCAGUAAGACAUUGGAGGACCUUGGUUUUGGAUCCGUGCAUUUUGAUUUUGGCUUUUGUAGUUGUUUUCCCUGAAUCUCCAUCUGCAUUAGUGUUUCUGAGUGUUCACAGCUGAAGAUUAGAUAGAUUCAGGGGCACACAAUGGACCCGCCACAUGAGCUGCUAGCCCACCUGGAGCAAAUGGCAUUGGCUGCUAGCCCCACUUAUGAUCUGAAGAACAGCAAAGCUGCAUUUCUUUACAAAAUGUGCUCUAAGUAGGGUGAGCAUCAUAGACCAUACAACUUGGGACACUUCCAAGAGUAAAAGGGUGUGGGAAUCAUAAUUACUUUAGGAUGACAGGCUUACAUGGAGACUAACCCUGACCAAUUGGGUCAUAUGGUCACCCUACCUACGAGUCAUCCUUCUCACUAAUUGAAUUCUUCCUUUGGUCCUCACUUUUUUCUGAAUUGUUUACUCAUCCAAUUAUUGGACAAUUAUUUACCGGUCCCCUCUAUUCGAGGUUCUGGGCUGCCAGGGAUGCAUAAUCCAGGAUUUCUCCUCCAAAGAAAGAAGGAUUCUUCCUCCAGAGAUGAAAUCAGUGAACUCUGAGUAACUCUCCCGGAUAAGUGAGCAGGCACAGAGCCUCUUGUAGGUUUCACUCUCCAUCUUCUCAUGUUAAUGAGCCAUCAAAGGAGAUGUUCCUAGAGGGUAGAGAUCAUGUCUGCUCUGUCCUCUGCAACACAUGGGGUUAUGGGAGGUAUUCACAGACACCAGGCAGGGCCUUUCGAAGAGCGAGGCAAACCGGUCCCUUCUGUAAAAUAGCAGUGCUCAGCUAAUGAGUCCCUGUGGGGCCCCCUACUCCUCACAUGCCUUUCUUUUUGUCCUCUCCCUUUGUUUCUUGGGUUGUGUAACACUCAUCACAUUAGUAAUUAAUUAUUUGUGAGCACCAGUUUAAUGCUUGUUGGACAAGAAGCUGGGUUGUCCCUAGUACCUAGCAGGGGCCCUGGUUUGUGGAAGUCUUCAAUAAAUAUUUGCUUGCUGACUCAUUGACUUAAGGCCCAAGGUCAGGGGCUGCCUCUGAUGAGAACCUAGGAGAAAUAAAUUUCCUGAGAGAAAAAUGGAGUGCAGGCAGGGAUAGAGGGGAGCUUACAGGUCUGAGUCUGGCAGAUAGAAGGUGCUUACUUGAGCAGGAUAUUCAAAAGAACAGGCUGGGUGCAGUGACUCACACCUGUAAUCCCAGCACUUUGGGAGGCCAAGGCAGGUGGAUCACUUGAGGCCAGGAGUUCAAGACCAGCCUGGCCAACAUGGCAAAACUCCACCUCUACUAAAAAAAUACAAAAAAUUAGGCGGGCGUGGUGGCAGGCGCCUGUAGUCCUAGCUACUUGAGAGGCUGAGGCAGGAGAAUGGCGUGAACCUGGGAGGCGGAGCUUGCAGUGAACCAAGAUCAUGCCACUGUACUCCAGCCUGGGCAACAGAGCAAGACUCCGUCUCAAAAAAAAAAAAAAAAAACACCUAAAAUAAAUAAAUAUAUAAAUAAAUAAAUAAACAUCAGCUGGGUGUGGUGGUGCAUGCCAGUAAUUUCAGCUACUUGGGAGGCUGAAGCAUGAGAAUUGCUUGAACCUGGGGGUGGAGGUUGCAGUGGACUGACAUUACACUAACGCACUCCAGCCUGGGUGACAGUGAGACUCUGUCUCAAACUAACAAACAAACAAACAAACAAAAUGAGCAGCCUGCCUAAGGAGAAAGAAUAAUGCUGCCUGUGUCUCGAUAUCAUUCUUGAGUCCCUCAGGUAGGAGUGGUGGCUUUGUGCCUGCCCAGCCUUUCUGCCAUCUGCCUUAUCCAGCAGUAGGUCUUGGCCUGACACCCAGCUGAGCAGAGCAAUGGAACAAGGAGUAGAAUUUCCUGCCUGGACUAAAAUGUGGCCCCAUUUCCAGGAUUCCAGAUGUUCCAGUGAAAGUGCCAGGGGAAGCUCAUGGCCAGGUAUGUAGAGCUCAGCCAAGCUGGCACGAAGUGGUAUUCCCAUCAUACUCUCUCAUCAGGCACCCCCAUAUAUGGUAUUGCCCAAUUUUUUUCACUCCGGGAUAGGUAUUGGCUAUUACAUUUGCUGCAGGACUGUACCUGUGGAGCGACCUGGAUGGAGCUUCUAUCAGGGAGGACUUUGAAGAGGACUCUUGUCUUUGGCCAUGGUGGGGUGGGGGGAAAUGAGAAGGGCUGGGCCCACCCCUGAGCCAGAGGAGAGAAGCUGGGGCUGCAGUGAUGGUCUGGCAGUUGGUGGGUGUCAAGCAGACCAUUUAUGGGCUAUAUCUGCUAUGUCAUUCAACCUGAAUGGCCCCUGCAGCCUAAUUGCUGGUGUUCAAGUCCCAUCUCCACCUCCUGUUGGCCAUGUGGCUGACAGCAAAUUAUUUAUCUUUCCUUUUUCAGUUUCAUCUUCUUGAAAAUGAGGAUGAUAAUAGUAGCCACCACAGUGGGUUCUUAUGACAAGUAAAUGAUUUAAUAUAUGUAAACUCUAGGUCUGGCACAGUGGCUCACAUCUAUAAUCCUAGCACUUCGAGAAACCUAGGCAGGUGGAUUGCUUGAGGCCAAGAGUUCAAGACCAGCCUGGGCAACAUGGCAAAACCCCAUUUCUACCAAAAACACAAAAAUUAGCCAGGCAUAGGGGUGCAUGCCUGUAGUCCCAGCUACUUGGAAGGCUGCGGCAUGAGAAUCGCUUGAACCUGGAAGGCAGAGGUUGCCAUGAGCCGAGAUAGCACCACUGCACUCCAGCCUGGGUGACAGAGCAAGACUAUCUCAAAAAAAGAAAAAAGUCUUCAGAGCAGUUUCUGGCAUAAAGUGUUAGCUAAAAGCAAAAUAAACAAAUAAAAACCUGCACUCAUAUCAUUCCCCAACAUGUUCUAUGCCCUUGCACACUUUCACUCUUGCCUUUUCCCAGUAUCCACCUGCCUUACACUUACCUCUCCUUCUAGUCAUAUCCUUAUCACCUCAUUCAUUCAUUUAUUCAACAAACCUUAUUGGGUAUCUAAGACUUGCCAAAUGUUGGUCAGAUCAUACUAUAACAAAUAGGCAAAAUCUCUAACCUGAAGAAACCUAUAGUCCAAUGGGAGAAACAUAAUUUAAAUAAAAUAAAAUUAAUAUAUUUUCCAAGAGACAGAUGAAGAUAAACAUAAGGGGUAAGUACUUUUAGCAGGAGAGAACUUGGGAGAAUCUCUGCAAGAGACACCAUUUAACUGGGUCAGAAAAGUUGGGUAAUAUAACACUAUAAUUAUUAUUAUUUUAUAACAAUAAUAAUAGCUUCCAUUUUUGGAGCAUUUGCUAUGUCCUCUGAACUAUGUGCUUGUCAGGGAUUAGCUCUUGCGACAAACCCUAGGAAGUAGGUACUAUCGUUAUCCACCUUCCCUCUGACAGACGAAGACACUGAAACUUUGAGUGGAUAAUUAGCUCAUCUAAGGUUUUAUAGCUAUCAAAUAAAGAAUUGGGAUUUAACCCUAGGCUACCUGGAUCUGGGGCCUGUGCACCACUAAGCCCCACUGAGAAAGCACUGACCUCUUUAUGCUGGAAGCCUCCCCAUGCUGAGAUGCUGGGAUUCCUCAUUCCAAAGCUACUGAACCCCUGGAAUGCAUCAGGCACAGUGCUUUGUAUGGACCCUAUCUAUGUCAAUCAUCCUAGUUCUAGCUGGUUUUCAAUACAUAUUUGUUAGUUAAAUUGCAAUUGGCAAUGUUUACGAAGGGCUUAUCAGACAUGAGGCGCUAUUCUAAGAGCUUUCCACGUAUUAAUCCAUUUAUUCCCCACAACAGUACUAAAACGGAGUAUACAUUAUCCGUGUUUUACAGAUGAGAAAACGUCUGUAACAGAGAGGUUAAACUACUUGCCCAAGAUCAUUCAGCUAGGGAGGGGAAGUCCUGCCUAGGAGACAUCCCAGGUCUUUCCAAUUCUGAAUAUCCAAUUCUUAUAUCUUUCUGGUUCUGUUUUUGCCGUGUCCCUUUCUGUUAGGGUGGGGUGAUUCAGGCUGGGAUGGGGGUACCCACAGAUGGCCAAACAAUUUUGAAGCAAGCCAAUUGUUAUAUUUCAGGGUUUGAGAUAGAGACCUGCGACGCCCUUUCCUGGAUUUGAAACACACUGGGCUACCUGGUCCUUCAAAGAAUUUUGGAUGUAUCUAUAUUUUGCUGCUGCUGACUCAGGGAAUUAGGCUGGUUGACACUGGGAAGCUUGCUUGAGUCUAUAUGUGCCUACGGGAACAACCCCACUAAAACUUCCUAGGAGACAGGCUUACAGAGGCCUCCUGUAAGAAGACCCCAGAUUUAGAGAAGACUGUGGCAUAAACUCUCCUGUGCAUGUAUCUGCCUUUCUCACUAGACUCUAGGCUCUCUGAAGGCAAGCACCAGAUUGCUGUCAUCUUUGCAGGCUUCUGUCCCCCUCAAGCACCUGGUUAGGUGCUCUGCACAUAGUAGGUGAUGUAAACACAUUGAUGGAGUAAAGAAUGUGGAAUCUUCAGAACAGAAUGUGGUUCCUGCAGGCAUCUCUGUGUGGUUUGUGGCAGAAAUGAUCCAUUGCCUGCUUGUGUGAACUUGGCUAUUUACUUUGCCUUUCUGGACCUCAGUUUUCUCAUCUGUCAACUGGGUUAAAACAUUCUCGGCUGCUGUGAGGAUUAAAUGAGAUAAUACAGAACUUAGAACAGUGUUUGGCACAUGGAAAGUGCUCCAAGAAUAUGAAUUAUUCCUAAUAUUGUUAACAUAGUCAGUAUCAUCAAACAUCUGCCAGGUAUAGCGUGAGUUCUGAAGCCAAAGAGACCUGGAUUUGAAUCCUGGUUCCUUUGCUUUUUCUCAGGUGAGGUAUUACAGCUCUGUAUGCCUUGAUUUCCACGUCUGUGAAGUGGGGAUAAAGCUCAUUCUACAGGGUGCUGGAGAUAUGCAAGUAAAGCCUUAGUGUAGGGGGGACAUUUAGUGACUGCUCAGGGAAUGAGGGUGGCCUUGAUGAUGUCCAUGCCACAAUCUUGAUUUUGUACAUGAGAAAUAGAGGCAGCAAGGAGACUUGGUGAUUAGUUUCAGGGCUUUGCCCUCCAGGACAACCAGACCUCCUUACUGUCUUGAGCUGCCUAAAAACACUUUGUGAAAAGAACUUGCAGUGGGCCAGCCUUCCCCUUUCUCCCUUCCCCACCCUGAGUCCUCUUGGACCCUUGGAAAGGGGGCUUUUGUCCUCUUCCAGGGUCCUGUGGCAUUUAGACAUGUUGGUGCUGCAAAGGCUACCCCGUCUGAAUUGCAAAGCAUCACCCCGCUGCAUUUUCAGAGGAGCUUUGAGGCUGCACCGGGCCACCAGCAGUGAGCCUUUCAUUUCAGGACUGGUCUUUAUUGUCCUAUUGAGGUUUCUGUCCAAACUUCCCCUUCAGGAAAACAUAAACCUGAGAGGAAGGGCUGACCCGGGAUGCUUCAUUUUUAUUCUUUUGGUGGUAACGUCUGGUGCAAUAAAACCCAGGCCAAAGGGAUGAAAAAUGGCUUUCUCUGUCUCUGUCUCUCUCUCUCUCUCCCCUUCUCUUUCCUGCCUUCCCCAAACCAUCCAAGCUGCGGAGCGCAGCCCUGGACCAUUUGCAGGGCCAGCCUCAGCGCAAGCCCUCCCUGGGUUUGAAUAGAAAACCACAAGCCAUAAUACACAUAAAAUCCUAAUGCGCCUUCAAAAUUACCUCAUCUUUUAUUUAGAGGUUAUUCCGCCCUUGUCUUUCUUUAUCGCUCUUUAUAUGACUGAAGUGGGUGAGCAGCACCAAAUGAGGCCAUCGCGGUCGCUGAGCGGAGGGAGUGUUUAUAGCCUAACUUUGGCGAGGCAACAAGCCCCCAGGAGUGCCUUCAUUUCAGCACCCCCGGCCCUCCCCAAAGCCAGCUCGUUCUAUUUGGAGACUGUUGCUGCCUUACCAGGUCUGUUUUUUUAAAAAUCUUUUUCUUCCAUACAUGAAUUUUAUUGUAUUUCUAAGUGAAAGGGAGGUGGCUUUCCGAGAAGCUAUGAUUUUUGAGUAGGCUGCAAAUGCCUGGCAGAGACUGGGGCCCCAACACUCCCAGGGCCAAAGCCUCAGACCGGCAUUUCCAGCUGAGGUCCUUGUUCUCUGAGCUCAGGAUCCUUGACAUUUAAAGGGCAAGAGGAGCCGUGAUUUAUACUGAAGCUCAAUUUGGAGAAAGUGGUGGGGAGAUUGGACAAAUUGCUUUUUGCAGGCUAAAGCUUUGGUUCUCAGACUUCAGUAUCCUGUGUAUAAAAAUCUCCUGGAGGGAUCAUUGAAAUAAAGUGCUGAGCCCCAUCCCCAGAAGUUCUGAUUCCAUCGGUCUGGUUGGGGACAGUGGGGUAGAUGGGUUGGGGCUGAUAGUCUACAUUUCUUUCCUUUAUUUUUUGGAGUCGGAAUCUCACUCUGUUGCCCAGACUGGCAUGUAGGGGUGUGAUCUCGGCUCACUGCAACCUCCACCUCCCGGGUUCAAGCGAUUCUCCUGCUUCAGCCUCGAGUAGCUGGGACUCACCAGCACGCACCAGCACACCCAGGGCUAAUUUUUGAAUUUUUUAGUGGAGACGCGGUUACACCAUAUUGGACAGGCUGGUCUCAAACUCCUGACCUCGUGAUCUGCCCGCCUCAGCCUCCCAAAGUGCUGGAAUUACAAGCAUGAGCCACCACAGAUGGCAAAUAGUCUGCAAUUCUAAAGAAUUUCCAGGUGUUGCGCUGAAGGUCAGGAUCUAGACCACACUGACAAGCGCUGGGCUAGAAGUGUAAGUAAAUGAAGGUGAGCUGGUGUGUGUGUGUGUGUGAGAGAUACCGAGGUACACACACACCCAGGCAAGCAAUGACUUUACUUUCCGAAGGGAAGCUUGCUACCCAGGGUGAAGGUGGGCUUCAAUGAUAGUGAAUUGGAUUCUAGAUUUUAGCACUGUGAGAUCCUACAACCUACGAUGAAUGCAGCCCAGUUUCCUUCAACAGAGAUUUCAAAGAGACAGCAAUUAUCAGACUUUGGAAAUGCCUUUACCCUGGUCCUGCUGGGAAGCAGACCAUGUCCUUUAUAUUUCACAAGUCUUUGAAAUUGAAGAAAUCUCUAAGGACCUAAGAGCCACGUCUCUAAGCAGUAUAGCACAGUGAUUAUGAACGCAGAGUCCAGGGUCAGAGCAAUGGCCUUUGUCUUAGUGAUCUUGGGCAAGUUAGAAAACCUCUCUGAGCUUCAGUUUCUUUAACUGUAGAAAGAGAUAAAAUUAGAAUCAACCUCAGAGGGUGUUGUAAGGAUUGAAUGAAAUAAGGCAUGUAAAAUGUCUUAGCAUAGUGCUUUGGACUUGGUUAGUCCCAAUAAAGUAUUACUGUUAUUAUUGUAAGCAUGUGCCUGCUCUUCUGAAUGUUUUUAAGUUAGUACUUCUUUAGAUUCAAUGAGCACCUAAUAAAUACGUACUAUGUGCCAAGCUCUUUUAUACUCAUUAUAUUGUGUAAUCAUCUGAAUUUGUUGAAAUGGGUGCUUCAUCUGAUUCUACCGAUGAGAAAACUGGUUCUCAGAAAGGUUAAGAAAUUUGCCUGGGUUAUUUACAAGUUACAAAGCUUAUAAGUGGUACACCUGAGAUUAAACCGAGACAGACUGGUUCUCAUCCCUCCACAACCCAGAUGGAGCUAGAGUUUGCUCCUAGCUCUGCCACUGGGGAGCUCUGUAAUAUUAGGCAACAUGCUUACCUUCUCUGGUCCUCAUCAUGUGGAAAGUGAAAAGACUGGAUUAUUCAUGGUGAAGUAGAAGGUUCCUUGCAGGGGCGCCAAUAAUAACAGCUAGGGGCCUGGCAGGUAUUUCACAAGUAUUUUUACUGGACCUAAUCAGGUUUCAUUCAAGUCAUCCUUAAUUCAAUAAUUUAACAAGUAUCUGUUGAACAUCUACUAUGUAUCCAGCACUAUUUUAAUUACUAGAAAUGAUGCAGUGACUAAAACAGAGCAGGCCAGGUGCGGUGCCUUAUGCUUGUAAUCCCAGCACUUCGGGAGGCUGAGGCAGGUGGAUCACCUGAGCUCAGGAGUUUGAGACCAGCCUGGCCAAAAUAAUGAAAACCCCAUCUCUACUAAAAAUACAAAAAUUAGCUGGGUGUGGUGGUGUGUGCCUGUAGUCCCAGCUAUUUGGGAGGAUGAGGCAGGAGAAUUGCUUGAGCCUUGGAGGCGGAAGUUGCAGUGAGCCAAGAUCACCCCAUUGCACUCUAGCCAGGGUGACAGAGUGAGACCUUAUCUCAAAAAAAGGAAAAAAAAAAAAAGAAAAGAAAAAACCCAGAGCAAAGUCACUUUCCUUUCUGUGUUUAUAUUCUACUUGGAGGGGCUGGUGGUAGAGUGUUGGCUAUAAACAUAUAACAUAUAAACAUAAGCAAAUAUCUCAGGAACAGGAAAUCAGGGAGGAAAGCUGCUCAGUUGAAGGCAUGCUUAGAAUGUUCCAGGAACAUCCAGGAAACCAAGAUGGCUAGAGUGUAGUGAACGUGAGGAAGAACGAUAGGAGGGCAGAGUGUGCAGGGCCUCAUGGAUCACGGCACAGACUCUGGCCUUUGCCCUGGAAGGGGAAGCCAUUUUUUUGGGUGGAGGUUCACCCAGAGGAAUAUCCUGAGACAAUAAUUUGAAUGCAAGUAGUUUAUGUGGAAAGUGAUUCCAGGAAGCACCAGAAUAGGUGUGGAGAGGUAAGACAGGAAAGAAAAAGAACCCAGUAAAAGGGGUAAUAUCAAGCUGGUUGCGAUUGUAAGCAACUGCAACUCUGUCUUGCAAGGGACCACUGGGAGACAGUGUAGAGAAUGCUUGCAUGUCAUCACCACCCAGGCCGAAGGACCUGGGAAACUGAUCCACCGGCUCUCUGACCAUUGGUGGUUGAAGGCCAUGUCCAAAGGUGUUAACUAUCUGGCACAUUCUGUUUGCCCUGGACUUGAUUAUGUGUGCUUCUCCAGCCAGGAAAAGGGCCCUGAGGCAGAGGGUUGCAGAGCCUAAUUGACUUGCACAGCUGAAUGCAGAAUGGAUAUGGCCAGGGCAUCAAUGCCUCUGUGACUCCAUUGGGAGUUUUUGAGCAGGGGAAUGAUGUGAUCAGAUAUAUUUAAAUGGGUCACUUUGAAUGAUGUGUUGAGAAUAGGUAGGGUGGAGGGCAAAGGAAGAAGGAAAGGGAAAUAGCUGAAAAAUUAUCACAAUAAUUCAUGUAAUGGUAACUUGGAUCAGAUGACUGCAGCCCCAGGUAGUGGAGGUAAUAUGUUUUGCUCACUUUUUUAGAAAACACAUUUUUGUUUCAAUAGCUCUUGGAGUACAAGUGGUUUUUGGUCACAUGGGUGAAUUGUUUAGUGUUGAAGUCUGAAAUUUUAGUUUAGCUUACCUUUUGAAUGGAUUCUGUAAGCUCAAUCAAAACUCAUUGUUUUUAAGCAUCAACGACUGUGUCCACCAUAGGGCUAGAUGAAUUCUUACUUAACUUCUCUUCUUCUUCUUACAUGCUUAGAAUUGCAGCCUUGACUUCAAUAUGAUGUAUAUUCAAACACCAGGCAAAUUAGCUUAUUUGUGCAUUGACUACAGAAAACUCUGUUAGUCUUACUUUGUAGGAGUAAACAUCAAAUGCUUCUGACAGCGACACUCAAAUGACAUGCUAAGAUUACAUCUUCAGAAGUUUAAGAAUAUAAAGAAACAUCUUGAAUUAGAAAACAGUACCUUUUUGUUUAUAUAAGUAAUGAGUUUAAGGAUCUACAACAACUCAGUAGUUAGUUGUGAAUUGCCGUUGGCUUCAAGGACAUAAUAACAAGCAGUAGGUAUAUAAUACAUAUUUGUGGAACUGAAUUGAAUUGGCUUAUAAGAAAGACAUAAUAUUUAAAUCCUUAGCUGUGAAGAACUUACCAGGGCUGCCUAUUAUUUUUAGAAGAUUUUCUUGUCUGAUCCUGCUCUGAAGUAGCUAACAUUGGCUACAUGUCUGCUAUGUUCCAGGGACUUUACAAGCAGUAUUUACGUUAAGUUCUGUGGUAGCCAGUCUUGAAGAAGGCCCCGGUGAUCCUGCCUCCCUCCUGGUGUUCACACUUUUGUGUAGUCCCCUCCCACAUUGUACCAGGGUGGGUCUAUGUGGCAGAAUUGGUGGUUUCUCACUUUUUUUUUUUAAAGGGCAGGGUCUCGCUUUUUCAUCCAGGCUGGAGUGCGGUGACAUAAUUACGGCUCACUGCAGCUUCGACCUCUGGGCUCAAGCAAUCCUCCCACCUCAGCUUCCUGAGUAGCUGCAACUACAGGUGCAUGCCACCAUACUUGGUUAGUUCUCUUUUUCGCAGAGACGAGGUCUCACUAUGUUGCCAGGGCUAGUCUCGAAGUCCUGGACUCAAGCAAACCUCCCGUCUUGACUUGCCAAAGUGCUGGGAUUACAAGCAUGAGCCACGGCACCAGGCUGCGUUCUCACUUUUGAGAUUAGAAAUAUUGGCAGCUUCCAUUGUGUUCCCUCUUUUUCUCUCUUGGAUCAUUCACAUGUCAUGAGAAGCCCCAAGGUGAAGCCUACAUGGUGAGAAACUGAGGCCUCCAGCCAGCAGCCAGGUUAAUGGGUUUGAAAGCAAAUCCUCCAGCCCAAUCCAGCCUUCAGAUGACUGCAGCCCUAGGUGACAAUGUGACAGAGGACUCAGGAGGAACCCUAAGCCAGAACCACCCUCUCAUCCAUGCUUAGACUCCUGAUCCUUGGAACAUAUGUGAGUUAAAAAUGUGCUUGUUGUUUUAAGCCAUUAAAUUUGGGGGUAGUUUGUGUUACACAGCAAAGAUAAUUAAUAGAAUUCCCAUAAUAGUUCUUUGGAAAUGGAUAUUGUUUUCUAUAUUUUUACAGUAGAGAAAAGCAAAGCUCACAGGGUGAAGGAUAGAAGGACCAUAUAACUUAUUGUUUAAACUGGGACAUUUUGAGCAUUAAAGGGAUGUUCUUAUUAAUUACACUGAAACAGCAGGUGUAAACUCGGACAGUCCCUGAGUCCUGGCAGAGUAUGGGGGAACAUCACUUUACUUACGUAAUUUAACUAGGGUCUUCAGCCACCAAGUAUCAGAGUUUGGACUGGUCUGAAGUAUGUCAGUUUCCAGAGUGUACACCUUCCUGCUGCUUCCCUGGCUAUGUCCUAAGCACGUAUCCAGCAAUAGUAGAACUCCAGACAUAAGAAGUGAUAUACAUGCACAGCGUAAAUGUAUUUUGAUAACUACAUUUUUUUUUUUUUGAGACAGAGUCUCAUUCUGUCACCCAGGCUGGAGUGCAGUGGUGUGAUCUCACCUCACUGCAAGCUCCGCCUCCCGGGUU
RNAcentral lists this long non-coding RNA (23949 nucleotides) under Homo sapiens (human). RNAcentral's name for it is "non-protein coding CASC11:7". The record is from RNAcentral. Lineage: Eukaryota; Metazoa; Chordata; Mammalia; Primates; Hominidae.